Molecule: non-coding RNA, 206 nt
Organism: Oryza glaberrima (African rice)
Lineage: Eukaryota; Viridiplantae; Streptophyta; Magnoliopsida; Poales; Poaceae
Source: Rfam
AAAAAGUCAAACUGUGUGUUCCCGUGCCAAUAUUUGACUGUUCGUUUUAUAUGAAAUUUUUUUAUAAUUAGUAUUUUAGUUGUUGUUAGAUAAUAAAACAUGAUUAAUACUUUAUGCAUGACUUAUCUUUUUAAUUUUUUUUUAUAUUUUUUUUAAAUAAGACGGACAGUCAAACGUUGGACACGAAAACCAGGGUUUGUCUUUUU